GAGCUGCCAGUCAGCCCUGUGCCUAACCAAACAAAUCACGGCUUAAGGUAGAGUGGGUGUGGGGAGGUGCUAGGAGUGGAGGGGAGGAUAAGGGAAAAAGAAAGAAAGAAGGCAAUACAUGAGAAGAGCAAGGCCUGUGAGGGCAAAAUCCUUGUAAAUCUCUAGAUGCUUCAUGAACUAACCAAAUGGCUGCUAACGAGACUGACUAUCUUCAGUGCAUUCUGUGUCAGUCUGUGGAGGAAGGAGGGGAGAGAGAUAUCUAGAGCCAGUACAGAUGGGAGGCAUGGCUGUGUGAUAAGAAGUGAAAGAUGCUGACCAGGACCAGGCCACACAUGAAGGGCUGGUUGCCCUUCCUGACCCUCCCUAACUGUGAAGAAAGACAGACCUCAACAGGGCUGUGGUUGGAAGGGAACACACUCUUUUCCGCUCACAUCUGUGUGUGAGUGCUGUGAAACUGUGCGGUACCGCCUUCCAUAAGAAAUUUCCUGUUGGCAAGGAAGAGAAGUGGGAUUUGUUUGGUCCUGUAUGGAGCUGCUUGGAGUGGUGUUCCCACUGCUGAGUUAGAUAGUUGGGUGGAAAGUCUUCCAGCUGCUGGACACCUGCUGCUGGAGCAGCUCCACCUUCCCUGCUCAAGAAAGCAGCCUGUCUUAGAGGUACAACCCAUUGGUGGUGACAAGCUCUCAUGGGCCGAAAGCAUUUCCAAAACCUAAGUGUAUUCUGCUGUGCUGAGGUGUUGCUGCUUCAUGUGAUUCAUUUCUGAGCUCUUAUUGACAACUACCCUAAAUUAAACCAAAUAAGUUGCUGGUGAAA
Pezoporus flaviventris is the source of this 810-nucleotide long non-coding RNA. RefSeq lists it as uncharacterized. NCBI's taxonomy places the organism in Eukaryota, Metazoa, Chordata, Aves, Psittaciformes, Psittacidae. The transcript is spliced from 2 exons. The record is from RefSeq and is a predicted model, not a curated record.